GUAGGUGGCAAGCGUUGUCCGGAAUUAUUGGGCGUAAAGCGCGCGCAGGCGGUCCUUUAAGUCUGAUGUGAAAGCCCACGGCUCAACCGUGGAGGGUCAUUGGAAACUGGGGGACUUGAGUACAGAAGAGGAAAGCGGAAUUCCAAGUGUAGCAGUGAAAUGCGUAGAGAUUUGGAGGAACACCAGUGGCGAAGGCGGCUUUCUGGUCUGUAACUGACGCUGAGGCGCGAAAGCGUGGGGAGCAAACAGGAUUAGAUACCCUGGUAGUCCACGCCGUAAACGAUGAGUGCUAAGUGUUAGGGGGUUUCCGCCCCCCUUAGUGCUGCAGCUAACGCAUUAAGCACUCCGCCUGGGAGUACGGCCGCAAGGCUG
This 372-nucleotide ribosomal RNA is filed under the name uncultured organism. RNAcentral describes it as "partial 16S ribosomal RNA". It matches the Rfam family "Bacterial small subunit ribosomal RNA", at positions 527 to 896 of the family's 1533-position model. The record is from RNAcentral.